RNAcentral lists this ribosomal RNA (159 nucleotides) under Micippa philyra. RNAcentral describes it as "partial 16S ribosomal RNA". The record is from RNAcentral. Lineage: Eukaryota; Metazoa; Arthropoda; Malacostraca; Decapoda; Mithracidae.
GCUUAUAUAUGUGUAAAGUUUUUGUUGAUAUAAAUAAUAAUAAAUUCUUUAGUGUUUAUUUUGUUGGGGCGACAUGAAUAAAAUUAUAGUAACUGUUCAUAUAAAAAUCAUUUAUAAAUGAAAAUUUGUUGAUCCUUUUUAGAGAUUUAAGAUCAAGUU